RNAcentral lists this long non-coding RNA (513 nucleotides) under Callithrix jacchus (white-tufted-ear marmoset). Its description in RNAcentral is "lncRNA (ENSCJAG00000074634.1)". The record is from RNAcentral. Lineage: Eukaryota; Metazoa; Chordata; Mammalia; Primates; Cebidae.
AUGCAAAGGCUCCCUUUAAACAAGAGCUUAGCGCUGCAGUGUUGUUUGCAGGGCAGCAGCUGUGUGACAGUCGCUGGAGGACGGGGUGUUACAGCUAAAUUGAUACGAGGUGAUGCUGGGAGUGGAGCCAUCAGAUGUGAAAGCAAAGCGUCUCGGGGACUGUGCAGCAAACCACUGUGGAAUGAAGACCCAAUUCGUACAAGUAAAGGAUGGAAGGCAACCCAGGGCAGGCAGCCCCUACCACCUUUACACUGGAGGCACCCAAGCCCUGGAACCUGGAACCCACUCAACCAUGGUGAGUCCUGCCUGGGGGUAGCUGGGACUUCAGAGGGAGGGGCUGUCUGGGGGGAUGCUGCAGUGGCAAAAGAGACACCGUCACGGCCCAUCAAAUGCCAGCUAGAGCUGAGAGGGAGAUGGAAAAUACUUUUCUUUCUUUCUUCUAGUCUCCCCCGGGGCCUCCCAGUGGCCAAACUUUGCCAGAGCCAGUUCUUAAGGGAGUCUGGGGAAUGCUGA